Molecule: ribosomal RNA, 199 nt
Filed under: uncultured Bacillus sp.
Lineage: Bacteria; Bacillati; Bacillota; Bacilli; Caryophanales; Bacillaceae
Description: partial 16S ribosomal RNA
Rfam family: Bacterial small subunit ribosomal RNA
Source: RNAcentral
CCUACGGGAGGCAGCAGUAGGGAAUCUUCCGCAAUGGACGAAAGUCUGACGGAGCAACGCCGCGUGAGUGAUGAAGGUUUUCGGAUCGUAAAACUCUGUUGUGAGGGAAGAACAAGUAUUGUUCGAAUAGGGCAAUACCUUGACGGUACCUCACCAGAAAGCCCCGGCUAACUACGUGCCAGCAGCCCGCGGUAAUAAU